UCCCAUCAGGACAGGCUCAGAUCAAACUUCUACAAAGCUCCCCUCCACCAUGGGCUGGGUACCAUUCUACCUCCUGCCCUUUAUUUUCUCUACAGGUUUCUGUGCUGCACCUGUGCUGACUCAGCCUCCAUCUGCAUCUGCCUCCCUGGGAGCCUCUGUCAAGCUCACCUGCACCCUGAGCAGGGAGCACAGCAAUUACUAUAUUCACUGGUAUCAACAGGAACCAGAGAAGGCCCCUCGGUAUUUGAUGAAGGUUAAUAGUGACGGAAGCCACAACAAGGGGGACGGGAUCUCCAGUCGCUUCUCAGGAUCCAGCACUGGGGUUGACCGUUACUUAACCAUCUCCAACAUCCAGCCUGAGGAUGAGACUGAAUAUUACUGUGGUGCAGACUAUAACAUCGAUGGUCAAAUACAGUAUGUGUUCGGCGGCGGGACCCAGCUGACCGUCCUCGGUCAGCCCACGUCCGCACCCUCGGUCACGCUCUUCCCGCCCUCCUCUGAGGAACUCGCCGCCAGCAAGGCCACCCUGGUGUGCCUCAUCAGUGACUUCUACCCCAGCGGCGUGACGGUGGCCUGGAAGGCAGACGGCAGCACCGUCACCCAGGGCGUGGAGACCACCAAGCCCUCCAAACAGAGCAACAACAAGUACGCGGCCAGCAGCUACCUGAGCCUGUCGCCUGACAAGUGGCAAUCUCACAGCAGCUUCAGCUGCCUGGUCACGCACGAGGGCAAAACCGUGGAGAAGAAGGUGGUCCCCUCACAGUGCUCUUAGGUCUCCGACACCCUCCCCCACCCAGCGGGGCCUGGAGACACAGGACCUCCAGGACGAUCUUCCCUUCCCCCAGGGUCAUCCCAGCCCUUCUCCCUUCACCCCAUCAACACUCAAUAAAGUGUCCUUUAUUCAAUCAGAAA
Molecule: non-coding RNA, 912 nt
Organism: Neogale vison (American mink)
Lineage: Eukaryota; Metazoa; Chordata; Mammalia; Carnivora; Mustelidae
Source: the annotation of a RefSeq genome assembly